Molecule: long non-coding RNA, 2280 nt
Organism: Gadus morhua (Atlantic cod)
Lineage: Eukaryota; Metazoa; Chordata; Actinopteri; Gadiformes; Gadidae
Source: Ensembl
CAAAAUGACUUCCAUCACAAACCUCCUCAACCUUACCCUCUUAGCCCCUCGAUGUGGGCUACGUGUUACCCCCAGAACAUCAGGGAGGCUGGCUCUCUGUUCAAAGACUUACAACCGCGCCGCCGCUUUCUAACCAGUUGAGGUGCUCUUCUAUCCCUGGCCCCUCUGUCCCAACAGGUGGGUACCUUACUUGGUUGCCGCAGGGCGCCGAGCCCGUGGAGCUGAGCGUGAAGGUCAGCGACCCGCUCAUCAGCUCCCUGUUCAGCCCGGUCCUCCAGGUGUGCAACUGCCUCAACGGGGGCACCUGCCAGUACGACGCCAUCACCCACAACUACCUGCAGGGCAAAUUCCAGGUGGUGGGCUGUCUGUGUCCGGAGGGCUUCAGCGGGGAGUUCUGCAGGGUGGUCUGGGACCCGUGUCUGGGCAAUCCGUGUUUCCCAGGCGUGGAUUGUCUGCCCGGGGCCGAGCCAGAGAGCUUCUCCUGCGGAGAGUGUCCCUCGCCCAAUGUCUACCAGGGCAAACAAGGCUACAAGUGCUUCCAGAAGGACUUUUGCCUGCCUCCCUCCCCUUUUCCCUGCCAUGAGAUGUCUGACUGCGACAACAAUGGCUACAGCUACUCUUGCAAGUGUAAACCUGGCUACACCGGGGACGGAUUUAAUUGCACAGACAUCGACGAGUGUCAGGACCCCUCUGCCUGCCCCAACGCCAAGUUUGAGUGCAUGAACCGGCCCGGUUCUGUGCACUGCUCCUGUAGGUACCAGAAGAGUAUGGCGGCUGAUGGCUGUGGUGAGUCAGCAAACCCUCCAGGUUUUAAUGUGUUUAACGUCUCCAUGGACUGGAAGGAUCCCGCACAGGAUAUGCUGACACAGUUGGAGGAGAUCCUGUCGGUGGGCUUCCAGAACAAGUUCUACAACGCCAGCAUUAAGGGCCCGCGGCAGGGGUCCGGGCCGGGGGCCGGGGAGUACCGCAUCAACGUGUCAAGCGACACACCCGCAUGGUACAUCCAGGAAUACCUGGGACGCGUGGGCCGCUUCUACGGCAUCGGCCUUCCCGAGGUCGGAGAUCUGGAUGAGUGCGCGGCCAAGGAGGCCGCGUGCGCGUGGCCGGCCCUCUGCGCCAACACCUACGGCGGCUACAGGUGCGUGUGCAACGGCACCACCGAGGUGGACGAGUCCCAGGCCUGCGUGUUGGGCAGUCAGGUUAUCCAAGCAGGGAACCAGAGCAGUGUGGUGGAGCCCCUGGAGGGGGACAACACAGCCCUGAUCCUGGGCCUGGUGCUGGGCAUUGGCAUCCCCUUCCUGCUGCUGCUGCUCGCCCUGUUGUGCUUCUGCUGCUGCUGCCCCCGCAAAAAGACCGCCCCCAGAGAGCCGUCCCAUUUGCUGCCUGGGUACCUGCAGUACAUCCCCCCGCCCUUCAACUACUCUGACCCCUCCCUCCAGUACAUCAGCCACUCCUGCCCCCGCUCCCUGGACACGCCCCCACCCAGGAGCUACCAUCACACCAAUCAUAUAUAUUCGUCAGCAAGCUGAACACACAAACACAAACACACGCACACACACACACACACACACAAACACACGCACACACACGCACAUACAUUCUAGCGCAAACACAGUCACACAUACACAAAGACCAACAGACACAGGACAUGUAAUAUGAUCAAAUGCACACAAAGUGCAGCGGAAGAAAAGCUAGAAAAAGCAAACAAGUGCGUGUGCAUGCACACUCAUGUGUAUUAACAGCCAUUUGCAUGCUCACAAACAUUCUCCCCCGCUCACCCACGCACCUGACAGGUGAUUGGGCAUUUUAAGAGCCGUAAUGGCCUUAUAAUGACAAGACGGAUGACUUAUUUAUGCCGCAAUGUACAAACAUUUAAGCCUGAGUGACUUUGAAAGUCUAUUAGAUCCUGACCGUUAAUGCAGAGAGAGGGGGCCUGCCAAUUCCUCCAUAGGGUCUGACCCAGCAAAACCAAUAGCCCUCUUGGCUGGGAGACAUUGAUGAAAAGAAAACCACUGCAGUGGUCUUCAGGUUCCAAAUGACUCUGACAUUUACCCUUGAUACGCCUUUAUCUUUAGCCGGACUUCUUUUUUUAAAUGGUGCAUCAACUAUAGUUUAGAAAGGAAGCAGUGGAUACCCUAAAUGUAAAGACCUAUACAAAUUGCAGUUUGUGUAUUUAUUUGGUGGAUAUUGAAAUAUUUCAUUUUUUUUAAAUGCAUCGAAACAUAUUGCAUUUUAUAUAUUUAUCUUGUUGGGAGUUUUAAUAAAGAUGUCUAAAAUCUC